CCGGCAGUGUUCCAGGUAACAGGUACUCCACUGACCAGAGACUGGGGCUGAGGACGACAAUUCUUCACAGCAGAACUCUGCCGACAGACACGUGGCAUGAGUAGGACAUAAAUCCUUUGCUGGACCCAGCACCCUUUGCAGGACAUUCAAGUUCCUUCGGGAAACCAGAGUAAGAAAGGAUUCUACUUUGCAGAAAGGACCAUUUCACCAAACAUUCGAUCCGAAACUAUCAACUUUUAAUGUGAGUAAGAUGGCAAUUUCUGCUAUCUUGUUCAACCUAAAUUCAAUUUUAUUAACCAGGUCCUAAUCCCGAAA
Molecule: non-coding RNA, 315 nt
Organism: Leptonychotes weddellii (Weddell seal)
Lineage: Eukaryota; Metazoa; Chordata; Mammalia; Carnivora; Phocidae
Source: RefSeq, a predicted model, not a curated record